This 640-nucleotide ribosomal RNA is filed under the name Bacillus sp. 8T. RNAcentral describes it as "bacterial SSU rRNA". It matches the Rfam family "Bacterial small subunit ribosomal RNA", at positions 56 to 680 of the family's 1533-position model. Lineage: Bacteria; Bacillati; Bacillota; Bacilli; Caryophanales; Bacillaceae. The record is from RNAcentral.
UGCAGUCGAGCGGACAGAAGGGAGCUUGCUCCCGGAUGUUAGCGGCGGACGGGUGAGUAACACGUGGGUAACCUGCCUGUAAGACUGGGAUAACUCCGGGAAACCGGAGCUAAUACCGGAUAGUUCCUUGAACCGCAUGGUUCAAGGAUGAAAGACGGUUUCGGCUGUCACUUACAGAUGGACCCGCGGCGCAUUAGCUAGUUGGUGAGGUAACGGCUCACCAAGGCGACGAUGCGUAGCCGACCUGAGAGGGUGAUCGGCCACACUGGGACUGAGACACGGCCCAGACUCCUACGGGAGGCAGCAGUAGGGAAUCUUCCGCAAUGGACGAAAGUCUGACGGAGCAACGCCGCGUGAGUGAUGAAGGUUUUCGGAUCGUAAAGCUCUGUUGUUAGGGAAGAACAAGUGCAAGAGUAACUGCUUGCACCUUGACGGUACCUAACCAGAAAGCCACGGCUAACUACGUGCCAGCAGCCGCGGUAAUACGUAGGUGGCAAGCGUUGUCCGGAAUUAUUGGGCGUAAAGGGCUCGCAGGCGGUUUCUUAAGUCUGAUGUGAAAGCCCCCGGCUCAACCGGGGAGGGUCAUUGGAAACUGGCAAACUUGAGUGCACAAGAGGAGAGUGAAUUUCCACGUGUAGCG